UGACGGUUGGUGCGGGAUACCCUUUACGAAACUGUGCGGAGCCAUGGAUGGCGGAGCUCAAGCGUCACAUGGACGUGCCGCAAGGAGCGUGUUUCGUAAAGGGUAUCCCGCACCAACCCUCC
Marinobacter salinus is the source of this 122-nucleotide non-coding RNA. Lineage: Bacteria; Pseudomonadati; Pseudomonadota; Gammaproteobacteria; Pseudomonadales; Marinobacteraceae. The record is from Rfam.